RNAcentral lists this long non-coding RNA (756 nucleotides) under Brachypodium distachyon (stiff brome). RNAcentral describes it as "long non-coding RNA (BDIS_LNC005649)". Lineage: Eukaryota; Viridiplantae; Streptophyta; Magnoliopsida; Poales; Poaceae. The record is from RNAcentral.
AGAAAUAUGAUCAUCGUUGUAACAUCCCAAAUUUUCCAAACCAUUGCAUAUGCAUUGCACUCAUGAGCAUCAUGCCACAAUUGCAUAUUUGAAUUCAAAUUUGAAUCUCAAAAGGCUUUAAAAGAUUUAUUUCAAUUUAAACCUUAGGGUUUUCACCCAUUUGAGCUUGGGAUCUUCAAACCAAUAGGGUUGAUUUAUAAAAAGGGUUUAUUGCAUAAAUAAGCUAUCCCAUAAUUUUUGGAUAAUUAUUUGGUGUUGAAAACUAUUUUAUUUAAAUAGUUAUAUAGCCCUAAAGGCAUUUAUAGGGCAAAUGUAUUUUUAGAUAUUAUAUUUUGAGGGGAAACUACUCCCAGAAGUUGAAUCAUGAUAAAACAUGAUUUAACAAAUUUUCUGAAAUUUAUUUGGGCCAAUUUGGAGUUCAAAAUCAAAAGAUAUCAAAGAAAUGAGAAAAAGGAAAAAGAAAGGCUAAAAGAAAACAAAAAGAAGAAACCGGACUGGCCCAACACACCACGCGCGCCCGAACCGGACCGAGCCGGCCCCCCAUGCCGCGCACGCCCGCAGCCUCUGACAGGUGGGGCCCCCCUGUCAGGGUGUUCGUCCCCGGUGGAAACCGCCCGCGCCACCCGCCGAGUCCGCGCCAGACUCCCUGCCACCGCAAUCUCCGGGAUCCGUCUCUCCCGACCUUCCCGAAGCAAGCAGAGCGCACCCCUAUAAAGCCCCGCUCCUCCUCUCUUCUUUCCCCCUCUUGCUUCCCCG